CCGAACUGAGACCGGCUUUUUGGGAUUCGCUCCACCUUACGGUAUCGCAGCCCUCUGUACCGGCCAUUGUAGCAUGCGUGAAGCCCAAGACAUAAGGGGCAUGAUGAUUUGACGUCAUCCCCACCUUCCUCCGAGUUGACCCCGGCAGUCUCCCAUGAGUCCCCGGCAUAACCCGCUGGCAACAUAGGACGAGGGUUGCGCUCGUUGCGGGACUUAACCCAACAUCUCACGACACGAGCUGACGACAACCAUGCACCACCUGUGUACGAGUGUCCAAAGAGAACCCCGUCUCGGGGGCUUUCUCGUACAUGUCAAGCCUUGGUAAGGUUCUUCGCGUUGCAUCGAAUUAAUCCGCAUGCUCCGCCGCUUGUGCGGGCCCCCGUCAAUUCCUUUGAGUUUUAGCCUUGCGGCCGUACUCCCCAGGCGGGGCACUUAAUGCGUUAGCUGCGGCACGGAACUCGUGGAAUGAGCCCCACACCUAGUGCCCAACGUUUACGGCAUGGACUACCAGGGUAUCUAAUCCUGUUCGCUCCCCAUGCUUUCGCUCCUCAGCGUCAGUUGCGGCCCAGAGACCUGCCUUCGCCAUCGGUGUUCCUCCUGAUAUCUGCGCAUUCCACCGCUACACCAGGAAUUCCAGUCUCCCCUACCGCACUCUAGUCUGCCCGUACCCGAUGCAAGCCCGAGGUUGAGCCUCGGGAUUUCACACCAGACGCGACAGACCGCCUACGAGCUCUUUACGCCCAAUAAUUCCGGACAACGCUUGCGCCCUACGUAUUACCGCGGCUGCUGGCACGUAGUUAGCCGGCGCUUCUUCUGCAGGUACCGUCACUUGCGCUUCUUCCCUGCUGAAAGAGGUUUACAACCCGAAGGCCGUCAUCCCUCACGCGGCGUCGCUGCAUCAGGCUUGCGCCCAUUGUGCAAUAUUCCCCACUGCUGCCUCCCGUAGGAGUCUGGGCCGUGUCUCAGUCCCAGUGUGGCCGGUCGCCCUCUCAGGCCGGCUACCCGUCGACGCCUUGGUAGGCCAUCACCCCACCAACAAGCUGAUAGGCCGCGAGCCCAUCCCCCACCGAAAAACUUUCCAACCCACACCAUGCGAUGCGAGCUCAUAUCCGGUAUUAGACCCCGUUUCCAAGGCUUAUCCCGAAGUGGAGGGCAGGUUGCUCACGUGUUACUCACCCGUUCGCCACUGAUCCACCCAGCAAGCUGGGCUUCACCGUUCGACUGCA
Molecule: ribosomal RNA, 1226 nt
Filed under: uncultured bacterium
Lineage: Bacteria
Description: partial 16S ribosomal RNA
Source: RNAcentral